This 168-nucleotide ribosomal RNA is filed under the name Chrysiptera chrysocephala. RNAcentral describes it as "partial 12S rRNA". The record is from RNAcentral. Lineage: Eukaryota; Metazoa; Chordata; Actinopteri; Pomacentridae.
CACCGCGGUUAUACGAGGGGCUCAAGUUAAUAGACAACGGCGUAAAGAGUGGUUAGGGAAAUGUUUAAACUAAAGCCGAACGCCCUCAGAGCUGUCGAACGCUUACGAGCCAAGAAGCCCCAUUACGAAAGUAGCUUUAUUUUACCUGACCCCACGAAAGCUGAGAAA